Molecule: ribosomal RNA, 35 nt
Filed under: Lecanosticta acicola
Lineage: Eukaryota; Fungi; Ascomycota; Dothideomycetes; Mycosphaerellales; Mycosphaerellaceae
Also listed under: 5 other names
Description: partial 18S ribosomal RNA
Source: RNAcentral
UCCGUAGGUGAACCUGCGGAGGGAUCAUUACUGAG